RNAcentral lists this long non-coding RNA (326 nucleotides) under Elaeis guineensis (African oil palm). RNAcentral describes it as "long non-coding RNA (EGUI_LNC012403)". The record is from RNAcentral. Lineage: Eukaryota; Viridiplantae; Streptophyta; Magnoliopsida; Arecales; Arecaceae.
GGGUGGAGAUCCGUAUUCUGUACUUGUAAGGGAUUCAUUUUCCACAUGCUCGAGUCCCCACCAACUUGAUCUUAUCUUCAGCAGCCUUCACCACCGCCUUCUCCAGCUGAAGACUCACCUCAAGCUAGGUGAUCCUUAUCUGAUGUGACUUCACAAGCCCAUGCUCUAAGGCCAAAAAGCCCUCAAGCUAUGUGAUUCGCUCCUUUGCAGCCAGAAGCUCGAACCUUGCCUGAGAUGAAUCAUCCUCUGAGGCCUUCUUCUGAGCCUUUGCAUCCUAGAGAUCUCCUUCGAGCUUUCUUUUGACUUGGUUGAGGUUGACGGUCGCC